UACUUAGUGGCAGACGGGUGAGUAACAUGUGGGUAUCUACCCUUUGGCCUGGAAUAACACGAGGAAACUUGUGCUAAUACCGGAUAAGUCUUUACGGAGAAAGCUUUAUGCACCAUUGGAUGAGCCCGCACUUGAUUAGUUUGUUGGUAGGGUAAUGGCCUACCAAGACUAUGAUCAAUAGCUGAUUUGAGAGGAUGAUCAGCCACAUUGGGACUGAGACACGGCCCAAACUCCUACGGGAGGCAGCAGUGGGGAAUCUUGCACAAUGGAGGAAACUCUGAUGCAGCGAUGCCGCGUGAGUGAAGAAGGCCUUUGGGUUGUAAAGCUCUUUCGUCGGGGAAGAAAAUGACUGUACCCGAAUAAGAAGGUCCGGCUAACUUCGUGCCAG
RNAcentral lists this ribosomal RNA (388 nucleotides) under uncultured Pelagibacterales bacterium. RNAcentral describes it as "bacterial SSU rRNA". It matches the Rfam family "Bacterial small subunit ribosomal RNA", at positions 89 to 511 of the family's 1533-position model. Lineage: Bacteria; Pseudomonadati; Pseudomonadota; Alphaproteobacteria; Candidatus Pelagibacterales. The record is from RNAcentral.